GCUAUUUCAGUAGCUUAGACAUUCUUCUUCCGUCGCCCAUUUAUGUCUAUCGUAUUGUAGUCCGUGCCUUUUUUCUUGUAUUUUUUUUGCUUUUUCUGUGUUUUCCUGGCUCUCUUGUCACCUUGACUUCCGCUCUUCCGUUAUACUCGCAUCGCCUCCCCCCUCACCCGUCCCCUUCCCUCGCUCUACGGGAACGUAGUUGUUUCUUCUUGCCGCGUUUUUUAUAUUUUUAUACACACACACACACACUUAUACACAGACACAUAUAUAUAUACACACGCAUACACAGACAUCUAUAUAUAUAUAUUUACAUAGUUAUAUCUAGUACAAUUUUUUUUUGUGUGCGAGUUUUGCGUUCUUUACGGCGUGCGAUGCAGAGCGUCUGCUUUUCGUAUGCUCAUCGCCCCUCCCCUACCCACGCCGCCUUCUUGCCGUGUGUUGCCAGUACUGCCUCUGUUUCCGAUGGUUUAGUAAUAUUGUAUUUUUUUUUCUUUAGUUUCUUGGCUUUCUUCCCUUCUUUGUUGCAUGUGUACGCUGGGAUCGUGCAUGUCGGUGCGUCUUUCUCCGCUGCCACCGUUGGCACUCGUGUACGUGCUGCUUGACCUUUCCGCUUCUCUGCCUCUCACCCUUCACAUCUUCCAGGCGCCAUCACAAGAGUGCUCAGCAGGCCAGCGUAUUUGUCGUGCUUUCCUGACUCUUGUCGCCUGGCGUGUUACCCCUUCUUGGUGUCGGCUCCGCUUACGCUCUUCUUCCAUUGCAUCGCAUUCCUCGCAGCCGGUGAAGCGGGUGGUGGGGCGACAUUCAUUGUCUUGACAAGCUCGUCUCGGUGUGGUAGAAGUCGAGAUCAGAACAACCGCCAUGGAUGCGGACAAGCGCCUUGCUACGUCGCCGGAUGCACGCGGCGACUCCCCAAGCAGCAGCAACGCUCGCCUUCAUUUGUGGUCCUCUUUUGAUAGCGAUGACGUGCCCCUCACCCUCAAACCCACGCCCGUUGGGGCGAGAACAGGGAACGGCAGUCAGGAUGUCAGGCCAACAAAGGGGGCGGCAUCUUCUACAAAAGUAACGACACCGAUCAUGUUGCACCCCGUGGCGGUGAACGCAACAGGCAUGUCCGCCGAUCAGCAGCGGCCGCCACCCUCCGUCUUCAUAGCCACGCCGCCCUUGUUUCGCUCUAUGUUACCUCCACGCGGCGCCGAGGCGAAGACAGUCGCUUACCCGGAAGUCUCUGAUCAACCAGGCUCAGAGGAAGAAAUGCAGAUCCUCAAGCCGGCCACUGACAUAACCCCAACUCAAGCUUCAAUCAUCAACAUCAGCGGCAAUCCCGCCGCGGCGAUCCCGCCGUUGCCGUCCGUGAGUGUUGGUGAGCACAGCUUCGAAGCUGGCCGUUCAAGGCGCAAGCUAGGCGGCAAGUCGGAGGUAUCGUUUAUGCAAGCAACGUUGACGGCGCCGGGAGCUGGAGCUGCCCUACCUGUUGCGACGCCGGGUGCGAACCACAGCGUUUCGAGUGGCGGGGGCCACCUGCGCACCCCAAGCUCUCGCUUCGGGAAGGUGAGCGGUGCUGGAUCUAUGGCGUUCUUCUCGGGUGCCGGCGGCAGCUUACUCCCUGCCGAGGGAACGAGAGGCGGGCUGGCCAGCCGGGCUUCUGCUUGCCCCAGCUACCACGCGAGCAGUAGCGCGAACGAGGAAAACCGUUUCGACGGCACAGAGACGGUGGCCAGCGCCCUCGGCGGCGAGAAACCCCUCUUUUCCACUGUUCGGAGUGCUGAACACGCUAACAGGUCGUCUUCACCGAAGCCUGGCAGCGGCGCGGCACGGCCGCUCAUCUGCCUGUCGUCCAAGAUGCGCUCUGGCACCCGCUGUCCGGAUCAGCAUCACCACACCGCUGAUCCGUCAUUAGCGAGCACGUGGGCGUCGUCGUAUAGACCAGGCGCGACCGCGACGCGGUCCGAGCGGCGCACUUGCCGGGUGCCCGUCUCUAUGGCGGUCGUGAUGAGUACAGUCAUCACCGUCAUCCUCGUUGCCGCCCUCACCAUUGUGCCUCUCAACGCCGUCUCAACCCAGUCGGUCGACUAUGUGAUGUCGACGCUCAGUCUCUCGCUUGCCUCUUCCUACACGCGGUCGGUGGAGGCAACGAUGCUGUUUUUGCCGAACGCGAUCAGCGCCUACGCGUUUGCUUACAUGAAUUCAUCGGACACGCAGGCAUGGAACUGGAAUGCCGCUGACAUGCCGCAGGCGCUGCGGCAGAUGUGUCACACAGUCGCCGGCACCGAUCGCAACCCCACCUCCUUUUUGCUCUACAUGUCCUUGAGCAGCCCGUACACGGGCUACAGCGCGUACUGCUCACAGCAGUACACCGAUGACUGCCUGAUCGGCAACUACAUCACGGACAACUCGUCUCAGCCCCGCUACUUCGUUAACGGAACGACCUACAACUACGCUGAGCCCCUCAUCAUGUACCCGGCUGUGCAAGCAAUGACGCCGUGGGAGUACACGGUUGAUUUUGGAGGGACAAAGAACACGUGGCAUAGUGUUGUCAUGCCGUGGUACGCACAAUACCAACAGGCCCGGCUCUCAAAGGCGGCUGUAGGCGCUGCCUUGCCUCACGAGGCUGCUCCUGACUGUGAUAGGCGCUCCUCCACAGGGCCCGAGCACUCGGUCGUUAACCCUCUCAAAUACCUGAACGGGUACUGGCGCAUCUUCAGCACCAACGUCAGCGUCAUCACGUACACGUUACCGUUCGUCGACUACGCCGGCAACCCAGCCUCUAUCAUGGAUGCCCUGCGUGCGGACGGCUUCAACGCCCUGCACUCCGACGGCCUCAUUGCCGCGGCCAGCAGUGCCCGCGCCAUGGUUGUCGACACGUCAAGUGGUCUUGUCUUCAUCACCUCCUGGGGACAGGACACGACAGUGCGGUUGGACAACUGGAACACGUCGUGCAACUGCACUCCUGGCGGAAGCAACCAGCGAGCGUUAUACCUAGAAGACAUCACAGACCCGCUCAUGAUUGCUGCCGUGCAGAACGUUGGCGGGCAGGAAGGCAUCGCCGACACGCCGUUAGAGGUGGAUCGGUGGAUCGGUCAAUUCACUUUUAACGACACCGAAAACCUGAUGGUGAUCAGCCGCGUUGCCAUCUCCUCUGACUACUCCGACAUGAACCUCGUCGUGAUCUACGCCAUGUGCAAGAAUGACUUCAUCGUCUUCAUCAAUCAUGUACAAAUUACCGCCCUUAUCGCAGUCGUGCUGGUUCUGGUGGUUAUUGUGCUGAUCGAGAUCUCCCUUCUGUACCUGCUUGUGCAGCCGGUGCGCGGGGUGGCAGCCGGUCUGCGCGCAGCUGCGGAGCUGCGCGACGGCAAAGAGUGCGUCGACCACGCAACGUCCUUGAUCAAGGAGGUGGCGGAGAUGCAGCGUUACUUCCACAUUAUGAAUAGAAAGCUAAUGCAGAUGAAGACGUUUCUCCCGCAGGGUAUGCUCGGGGCCCAAGCCGUGCACACCGACAUUCAAGGCGCCAGCGAUGCCGGCUUGACUGUUUUCCCCACCUCGACGUUACAUGGGCGGGGAGGUGGCGGCGUGUGGGAGAAUGCGUACGGCGACGAUGGGUACGGUGGACCGGGUGACAUGCUUGGCGGCGACGGCAGCGGCGACGUCUGCGCAGCCCACCGCGGCGGCAAAGACAGCGACUCUGAGCUGGGAAGUAUACUCGACGCGAGUGAGACGGGCCAGAAGCAGCGCCGGGGCUGCGGCCAGCCAGUGGCGGAGGUGGCACACCUCCGUCUGAAUGAUCACGUGCUCCUCGAGGAGGUGAACCGCUUUCGUCGGCGCUACUGCAGCACCAUCGUUUUCUGCAUGCACUUGAUGGAGUCUGAGAUCAGCGUAAAGUUCUUGAACAAGAACUGCGUCUACUUCACCGAGGGUGUGCUGCCGUGCGUGCUGCGUUACGGCGGCGUGAUUGAGUUGCAGCGGCCGGACUACAUUGUCGUCAGCUUCGGCGCGCACAACAAGGUCGCGCUGCACCAGAACCGCGCCGCCAUGUGCGCGCUGGAGGUGAUGAAGGUGCUAAACGCCACCACCCCGAUCGGCCCACGCGUGGGGUGCAUGAUCGACGCAAGCGAGUACUAUGUCGGCACCUGCGGCGCGGCGGACCGUAACGCGCUCGUCACCUUCAGCAACAGCCUAGUCCCGAAGGUUGACCUCAUUCGCGUGCUCAAGUCUGUGCAGACGCAGAUUGUUCUCACGCAGCGACUCGCCUCCACCCUGGAAAGCUCGAUGCUCGUCAUGCCGGUGGAUUGCAUGAUACUGAACCCGAUCGGCUUGAAGGAGAUCAUUCUAUACGAGCUGCGGGGCGACAUCCGCAUGCUGCCGUCGAAGGUGUCUGUGGUGAUGGUGCGCGAGGUCAUCCGUGCUGUGCGCAUGGGCUUCACUCACAUGCUCAAGGGCGACUAUAGCAGGGCACUAGAGAUCCUAGAGCCGUUCGAGACAAUGGAGUUGCAGGCGGCCCGCCUCGGCUUCAUGUGCAAGGUCUUUAUCUCACACAACAUUAACCGCCCGUUUGUGCGGUCCGUCACACGCCUUACUUUUUCUGAGGCACACUUUGCAGGCUACAACGAUUGCUGGUCCACGGAGUGGGGCGAGUUGCACGAGAGCGGCACCUCUUUCGGCGCUCACGGGCACAAGAGUACUACUGACGGCUCCGUGGAGACCGCGAAUCCGCUAGCCGCCGGUGGUGGCAUCGGCGGCAGCGCCUCCUCCUUCGCGUUUUCGCCCUUCAGCAAUGACCUCGAUCCGGCGACGCUUCUGAUGACGCCGCCGACGCUUCGGUUGGUUGUCGGGGCUUCCUUGAACCUUCCCUUAUCUAGCAAGGAAGGCUCCAAGCAGAUAAAUGAGGGCAGCGUGACGGUGGGCGCCGCGUCGGUUGCCACUCGCGCCGACGAAGGCUCUCUGACCAUGCGCAGGAGCACCGGCGCCGCUGAGGAGAAGGCUGAGCAGAAUGAACUGGAAAGAGCGGCUGCGAGACGUGCCGUGGCGGAUGAGGGCGAGACAGCGCUCUUCGAGAUAUUUGUGGAGAACCAGCCCGACGACGAUGACGACGUGGAUGACGGAGAAGCCGAGGCGGGCGGGAGGGGCAGCUGGGCUGGCAGCAGCGCGUAUUACAGCGCUUUCAACAACGCGACAAACAACGGCGGCUUCGGCGGCGGCGGCGGCGGAGAGGUGCCGGUGAAGCAUUGUACCGCAGCAGCUAUGAGCACAAGAGAGGCGAUACGGUGCCCUCGAAAAAGUGAGUUGCCCCUCGUCUUCAACGACUACGAGGGCAACACGUGGCGCCGCUCCUACGACAUACUAGGUACUGGCGCCUUCUCCACCGUAUACCGCGGCCUAUCCAUGUCUGGCAACCUCGUUGCGCUCAAGUGCUUCCAACUCGGCGCUCGAAACAUCGAAGUCCACGCAAUCGUCGAUGAAGUGCGACUGUUUGCAAACCUGCACCACGAAAACGUUGUGCAGUACCUCAGCUUGUACGUGUCGGAGUCGUACGUGAUCGAGAUUAUGGAGUUUGUGCCGGGCGGCUCCCUCGAUACACUGCUGAAGAGCUUUGGCUCUCUUCGGCCAGAGUCAGUGCGACGCUACCUGCGAGAUAUCGCGCGUGGUUUGAGCUAUCUGCACACGGCAAACAUAGUGCACUGCGACAUCAAGCCACACAACGUCCUCCUUGCCAUGGAUGGACAGUGCAAGCUGAGCGACUUCGGCUCCGCAAUCGCCCGGGCGACCUCGUCCAUAUGCAGCAUUGACAACGUUCUUGAGAUGCGCGGCACGCCGGGCUAUAUGGCGCCUGAGGUGGCGCGCGGUGACGUGCCGACCAUGAAGAGUGACGUGUACUCGCUGGGAAUCACCAUUUUAGAGCUUCUCACUGGGAGGCUGCCUUGGGACUACGCCGAUGCAUUCGCCCCGAAGCUUUCAGGGAAGCUGGCACAACCCAAGAGCACUUCUGAGCAGCGCGCGUCGCAGCUGCAUACGUGCCCCGCGGCGGGAGCGCGGGGCACAGGGGUGGCAGACGGCGCUGUCGCACAGGCGGGCGCCGAUCUGUCGGAAAAGACGUUGAAUGCGGGGAUCUCUGCCACCCGGGGGCCCUCGGGCGGGCCCAUCACGGAUAGCCACCUCUAUGCCGCGACGAUGCUGUCGAACGCAAGCUACGCAGGCCCGGCCACGCCUAUGGGCGAGAUGGUGUGCGGCUUUGGCAGUGGUCCUCUCUCUUCGAAAAAUCAGAGCGGUGAGGCGGAGCACAGCUUCAGACGUUUGGAGUUUAGCGGCAGCGGCGCAGGGAUCACCGAAGGGAGCUCUGGCCUGCCCCCACACGCACUGGCAAGCACACCGGAAGAGAGGGCCUCUGCGACUGUUGCUUCCCUGAGAGCCACCACCUCUCUCGCGAAGGUCGCCGCGGCGGAGAACGCGGCAGCCGGAGCAUGCAAUGAUGACGGCACCGUUAUGCUUCUCGGUGGUGCCCUAAAGCGUUCCCUGGAGAUCAAUCAGAGUCGGCAGCAACAUGACAGCAUCGCUUACAGCCCUUCCUCUACCUCUCGGCCCCCUUCCAGUUCGAUCUUAUCUUCGUUCUACCAGACCCAGCGCUUCGCUGUGCCGCUACACCGCCGACCUAUCGAACAAGUGCUUCGAAGCUCCACCCAGCUUGUUGUGUAUAUUGGACGUGGGCUAGUGGUGCCGCGGAUCCCCGAUACGCUGGAUGAGGACGUGAUAAACUUCCUGGAGCUGUGUCUGAAACCUGACCCGGCAGAGCGUGCCUCCAUGUCGGAGCUGAUGCUUCACCCAUGGCUGAUGUAAAGAGCACGAGGGAGGACAGGAGGGUUGAGGCUAGGGCAAGCCGGGUAGGCAAGGUGUACGCAGGCGGUGUAUGCCUGCACGACUCGCCUGCAUUUUGUGGCAGCUUCACUUGGCGUGAUCUCUUUCUCUCUCCCCUUUUGCACCCCCAGCUUCACCCCCCCCCCCCCCCCCCCCAAUGAGCGCUAAGCUGACCGUAUGCAGGUCAUGUCCACAUCCUCCCGCACAGGCCUGCAUGCGCGCGUUCCCUCGCUUUUCCUUUUUCUGCUGUUUCGUUUCCCUGACGAGCGAUCUUUUCUUUGGCGGCGUCUUCCGUUACUGGGUGACUUCAUUGCAUGCCCCGUGCACCGCAAAGGACGCGUUUCCUUUUCUUUUCUUUAUGCACUUCGCUUCCUUUUCCGAUCGAUACGUUACAUGGGUUUGUGCAUCCACAUGUAUAGACAAAUAUGUAUAUAUAUAUAGACGUGUACAUGUGUGUGCGUGUUGAAGGUGGUGCCCCCCUUUCCCUUCCCACUUCCCUGUGCCGCUCAGACAGGCUCAGGUGCUCCAAACAGGUCUCUCGUUGCCCGGCUCCCCUUCUCGUAUCCCAUUACUUUUUUUUUGAAUUUUCGUAUUCCUCAGUUUUUGUUGUACCCGGCUUUUUCGUCUUGGUAUCUCAGGACACAGCAGCACGGCUGGCAAGCUUGCCAAGCAACAGGCAAUGCCAGGGGCGCCGACGCCAACUGCUUAGGCCACGAGCCCGGCUACUGCUCUCGGACGCCAGGGCGCAAUCCCCCGAAACCGCGAUACGCGAUGCGACACCCUCAGACAAGAGGCGCAUGACAGCGGCGAUCCCACACCAGAAGAGCAAGGAUGUUGAGCUGACAAGAUGGCAGGAGGACUCUCCUCGCCCGGCCCCGCACGGGCACCUGUCCGCACUUGGGAUUCCUGCAACGGCGGGUGACUGGCAGCGACAUCAUGGGGUGUAGAUGGCUUAAUACAAACUUCUCCGCUAGCGUUGCGGUAACCCACCCCCGCCAGAGCCUCCACUCCCGCCGGCUUGUGCUGUAAGGGCGCCCGACCCGGCGCUAUGCCUGGUAUGCUACGCGCGAUGUGCGGAUCGCUCGACGCUCACAUCACGCCCCGUCUCCCUCUGUGGCCGUGCACGCAGUGACCUGUUUACGCACAUCUCCCUUGAGCGACAUGGCCUUUCCCCGCCGGCUGACCAUCGCUGCCCCCUAUGCCCCUUCACAAGGACAAGCUGCGGGCUCUUUGUGCGCCGGCAAAUGCGUCUCCGCGGGGCCCCUUCCGCUUGACACACCGACUCCUGCCCAGGGGCGUGCGGGCUGAGGAGAGGGCGGAGUGCCCCUGCCGCCACAGACUCAUGGCAUCGCUCCACCUGUCGCUGCGCGUGCGGGCACGACUCCGCGACAGCGACACCGUGCUUAAGCAGACCCCGCCAUGCCACAAGGCGAGCACGGUGCGCACGCGCUGUCAAGCAGAGCUGGCAUGGCGCAUCGCACCCAGGCAAGGCAUCAAGAGGGGCGCAGAGCAGGAUUGCCCCACGGGCAAGACGUGGAGCGAUGCACACGAAUCAGCUCCAUAGUGCAUGCGCGCGAAGCAUGCAGCAUCUCCUGCAUCUGACCGGUGCGGGCUGAUGAGGCGCAGAUGCCAAAGGCAUCGUGAAGGCACCCUCGAGCUCCACCACCGGGUCCUCCAGACUCCCACGUGCAGAGCCUCCACACCAUAUUAUGGGAUGCCGCCGCUUGAAGCGACUGAGGGGACGAAGCGUGGCACACAGGCAGGGGGGCGUAGGACCUCGGGGGGGGGCCUGGCCCUGAGGCUGGCGGACUUCGUCCCUGCGCUCAUCCGGCAUGCGCCUUGGCCACCCCCCGUUGCCCGCACGGCAGACGCUACUGCCUCGGCUCUAGACGACGACCCUGGACGUCGCUCGCUUUAGAUGAGGGCAUGCAACCCACACGCGUCUCCAUGUGGAGCCGAUCGCGCCGCACGCAUGCAGGGAAGGGACGAGGAAGGAGAGGGAGGCCCCGCUAGGCGCACGGCUUCGAUUCGACGGCAGACGACGAGGGAGGCAGCCUGCAGCGCAGCAGGCGCAGGUGCACUGUGGCUGUGUAAUGCGCACGUCUUGUUGGCUUGUUCAUGGUAGAAUGGGCGUGCGAAAGGCACCAACAUGCGCUCAAGCGCUGCUGUAUACUGAUGACAGGGACGACACCCCUCAGUGCGUGGCACCACAAGGGCCAGUGCACCCUCACUCUCUGUGGGGAAGCCAUGCAGCCCCCCCCCCCCUCCACAGUAUCCCUGUCAAGUGCCGAACGCCGCGCUUCCGGUGGCGACACGGUCAAGCACCUACGGUGUGAGGGGGUCAGAGCGGUGCAUCGCCACGGGCAUGCCGGCGGUCAGGUCGUGGAUCGGCGUUGCGUUGGAGCGACCUGCGGCAGCGAACACGUGUGUACCGCGCAUAUAGCAUGGCAGCGUGAAUCGAGCUCAUCCCGCCUGGCCCUCACGCUGCCUACAGAGGUGGAGAGAGGGGGGGAGCCCGAGUGCCACCCCGAGGGGGAUGCAUCGAAUGGCGAGCGGCAUAGCGGCCGCGGCUGUGAGGCGACCUGAAGAGCGCGUGUGGGUGGGUGUGGUGUGUGACGCAGGGGCCGUGCUCCGAUGAAUGCGCCGGCGCAUUGCUGUACCGUGCGCGCCUGCGGCUGCGUGGCACCACGCGAUGGGGAGGGAGGGGGGCUGUGGCAGGCCGGAUAGAGUGAUCUUUAACGGAUGUUCUAGGGUAGAAUGGACAAGGUGAAGGCAAAAUCGAAAUGAAGAAAAUACCGAUGCGUCCAAGGGCUGUGGCGGCCAAG
Molecule: unclassified non-coding RNA, 9668 nt
Filed under: Leishmania donovani
Lineage: Eukaryota; Euglenozoa; Kinetoplastea; Trypanosomatida; Trypanosomatidae
Description: gene:LdHU3.33.3460(CDS-product:protein_kinase_put ative)
Source: RNAcentral